RNA transcript from Manduca sexta (tobacco hornworm), 1515 nucleotides. RefSeq lists it as uncharacterized. Lineage: Eukaryota; Metazoa; Arthropoda; Insecta; Lepidoptera; Sphingidae. The record is from RefSeq and is a predicted model, not a curated record. The transcript is spliced from 9 exons.
UAUUGAUGUUAAAAUGUUCGUACGAUUAUGUUUUUAAUAAAUAUGGUGUCAAAUUGUCAACGUAAAAUAAUAAACGGCAAAGAAAUUGGAGUAGAUAAACCGUAUGUGGGUUAUCUAGUCAAAGCGCAGGUAUCGCCGCAGAAGUAUGACGCGUGGAUAUGCGGAGGGGCAAUCGUGAGCCCCAUGUAUAUAAUCACAUCGGCAGGCUUGCAUAGAAGAUGUCCAGCAUUUGUACGCUGUAGUCGGCUACAAGAAAUAUGUUCAUUCUGCGAAUCUCAACGAUGAUAAAUGCACAAAGAACACGAAAAAGAAAAUUGUGUUAACUUGCGUACCUAAAGCAUACGAAUUAGACUAUACAAAAGUGUCGGUGUGGUCGUACAUUGACAUAGCUGUAGUGAAGACUGAAUCUGCGAUACAAUUUAACGAUGAGAAGUAUACAAAGUUCUGCUCUUACAGCCCUGCGGCUAUACCAGUUAACUAUGAGUCGAGGUAUCAGGACCCUGGGACUGACGCUGUGGUAUAUGGAUGGGGCCAUAAAGAAAUAUAUCGAAAGCCCCACGACGCAGAAGAUUACAAUCAAAAAACUUUACAAUACGCACCACAACUUUUACAAGAGAAAAGUGUUUGCAAAAAGGUUUACAAAGGAUACAACAUGGAUCUUGUGAUUGAUAAAUAUAUGCUGUGUACCAUGGAAGGUGGUAAUGUUGACGAAAAAGGUGAUUUGAUAGGUAAAUCCAAGCCUGUGUUAGUGGACGGGUGUGUCACUAAAAGGCAGAGACUUAUGGGUGCUGGCGGUAUCUCUUGUGAAGAAAACGAAGAAAUGCCGGAGUAUAUCCAAGAUCCUAUAAUUUUUGAUGCAACACGAAGGAAUGGCUCACAAACAAACGAAACCUACACUUCAACUAGAAGACACGGGAUUUGUCAGAACGACCACGGCGGUCCUCUGGUCAGGUGGAUAGGCAACCGUGAAGUACUGAUCGGAGUCGCUUCAGUAUUUCGAGUCAAUAACAAGUCCCAGUGCGUUGGACCUUUCCUUUUCACCAGCACGCAGUGUAAUGGAAAGUUCCUGGACUGCGUACUUAAUGAAGACGGAGAAUCUUUGCGAAGAAAUUUAUAUUGCGACGAACCACCUAGCGUGAGGGGAUUUGAUAUGAUCCGGCGAACGAUAUCUUGGAUGGAUCAUCCUGAAGGGCCAGCCGAGAACGAAAUACAAAUGAGGCCACAAAUCCCUCUCCGGAACUACGGUUAUACUGCAAAUCAAGACGGAAAUGUUAGGAGGGUGGUCCCUUAUAAAUAGUACCAAUAAAUAAAUAUUAAUUAUUAAUUGUAAGUGGUUAUUUAACCCUUAACAUCUGUUUCACAAGUAUCAAGUAAAUUUGAUCGUUAUUAUAAUAAAUAGCUGAGAAAUAUAGUAAUUAUAACUAUAUUACCAUUUAUUUCAUAGCUUAGUACAGUGUGACUCUUGUAUUUGGUCGUCUUAUAUAUUUAUGUGAUGAGUAAACAUUUAUUCCGAAG